GCGGAACUGAAAAUGGGAAGCCUGCUAGGGCUGUGUCAUGGGAAAGCUCCAGCUUCCACUCAGCAGACAAGUGGUAGAGACGGUUAAUGAAGCUCUACGGAUGGCCAUAACUCAAUUGCACGUGCUCCUCUGUUUGUCCUGCUUAGAUCGUUUGCUUUAGCCCAAAGGAGUUGCAGUGCUGUUUGACUGAUGGCAGGCUUGCAAUAGCUGCUGUUCUUAUAUUUUAUGGUUGGGAGUGACCAAAACGCAAGCCCUGAGAUGGAGAUAGUUGUGGAAGAGACUGCCUCUGUCAAAGAGUGUCUAAAUUUAAUGCUGGAAAAAUCGGGAUUAUCAGGUGACAACUGGCAUUUGAGAAGGGUUGACUGGUGCUAUGAAGCAGGGGAAGCAUGAAGUCAGGAAAAUGCCACUCUGAAGGAACUUAAUGUUUGCAGAGGAGAUACUUUGGUUAUAACUGAAGGAAAGCUUCCAGCAAAGGUGACAACGGAACGGUGGAAGAUAACACACGAGCGUUUCUGUGCAGUAGUCGCGUGCUGGUGGCAUCUAACGCGUUUGCCUUUUGGGGCUGGGAACCUGGGCGAACGGAUUGCCGUAUCGAGUGAAGUCUGCUGUCAGACACACCGCGGAGCCGUGCUGAACCGCACGAACGUCCAGAAACCUGUUCUGAAAGGAGCAAAGCCGUUGUUCAACAAUCGCUUUUGAACAUAGCCUGAAGUAUCCUGAAUUAAAUCUGUGUUAAUGAGAGGGCAAACUACAAGUCACUUUUGGGGGCUACCGUAAACGUUGAAGCUGUUGCCUUGUAUGUGGAGCAGAUGCUGUAGUAGGAGAUACCAGUAGAGCAGGCUACUAAAAUUGUGGCUAAUGUGAGAAGCUCUCUCAUUUACCUUUUAUAGGUUAACAACAUUCUGGUAUUUCAGACAGCUUCAAGACAAAAACUGACACUCUCAGCUAUCAGCAAAAAAAAAAAAGUCCAAAGCCCCUUGAAGCAUAUGAUUAAUAUUUAUUUCUGUGCAUCUCUCUCAAAUUCAGCAGGUGCUUCUGUGCUUUCUGAGGCCGCUUCAUUCAAGAAGGGGAUCUUUUUAAUUUCCUCGCUGUUUCGGUUGUAGGUAGGCUUCCCUUGAAUCUUGAAAUCCUAGUUCUAUGGAUAGAUUUUCUGACUGAGGUGAGGGCAGCCGACUGCUUUCCCCGUCUGACUUUGCGCCGCCUUCUUCCCUAUCCACAAGUGUUCUUGCGAGCCAGAAAUGAUCGCGCGUGCUGAUUCCUAAGGUAAGCCAGAAAGGUUUGCGUUCGCAGGUUGUUCCGUGGCAUUGCACUUACUUUGCUGUCCCUUUGAAUUCCUCCAGUUCCUUGCUGGACAGCUGUCCUGAGCUCAGCCUUCCCACCUGCCUUUAAUAACUCCAGCCUCUUCUCGAAAACACGACGUUUGGAGAAAUGUAAAGACGGAUUCCAAGUGCUAACGUGGGGAUUUUAGUAUGUGCCUUUGUUCAAGUGUAAUGUAGCAGCGCCUGCACUGAACCAAUCUUGGAUUAUUUCUAAUGUUGGCUCAAAAUGCGUAUUUUUUUUCCUUAAAACUACUGUGGGUCAUUCCGCAAGGAGAGAGUUCGUUAAAAAGGGGGGUGGGGAGAGGGAACACCUUUUUAAAACGGAGUCUUUGUGAUUCCACAGUUUAUGACGGUUAUAUUCCAAAGCCUGGAAAAGCUUUCGUCUUUAUUUUUCAAGUGUUCUUCACAAAAUAAAAAGUCAUUUCUAGA
This is a long non-coding RNA of Gymnogyps californianus (California condor), 1748 nucleotides long. RefSeq lists it as uncharacterized. The transcript has 7 exons. The record is from RefSeq and is a predicted model, not a curated record. Lineage: Eukaryota; Metazoa; Chordata; Aves; Accipitriformes; Cathartidae.